CCUACGGGGGGCUGCAGUGGGGAAUAUUGGACAAUGGGGGCAACCCUGAUCCAGCCAUGCCGCGUGUGUGAAGAAGGCCCUCGGGUUGUAAAGCACUUUCAGUGAGGAAGAACGCCUGGUGGUUAAUACCCAUCAGGAAAGACAUCACUCACAGAAGAAGCACCGGCUAACUCCGUGCCAGCAGCCGCGGUAAUACGGAGGGUGCGAGCGUUAAUCGGAAUUACUGGGCGUAAAGCGCGUGUAGGUGGCUUGAUAAGCCGGUUGUGAAAGCCCCGGGCUCAACCUGGGAACGGCAUCCGGAACUGUCAAGCUAGAGUGCAGGAGAGGAAGGUAGAAUUCCCGGUGUAGCGGUGAAAUGCGUAGAGAUCGGGAGGAAUACCAGUGGCGAAGGCGGCCUUCUGGACUGACACUGACACUGAGGUGCGAAAGCGUGGGUAGCAAACAGGAUUAGAUACCCCAGUAGUC
Molecule: ribosomal RNA, 465 nt
Filed under: Vreelandella stevensii
Lineage: Bacteria; Pseudomonadati; Pseudomonadota; Gammaproteobacteria; Oceanospirillales; Halomonadaceae
Description: partial 16S ribosomal RNA
Rfam family: Bacterial small subunit ribosomal RNA
Source: RNAcentral